UACGUAGGGUGCGAGCGUUAAUCGGAAUUACUGGGCGUAAAGAGCUCGUAGGCGGCUUGUCGCGUUGUCCGUGAAAACUCACAACUCAAUUGUGGGCGUGCGGGCGAUACGGGCAGACUGGAGUACUGCAGGGGAGACUGGAAUUCCUGGUGUAGCGGUGGAAUGCGCAGAUAUCAGGAGGAACACCGGUGGCGAAGGCGGGUCUCUGGGCAGUAACUGACGCUGAGGAGCGAAAGCGUGGGGAGCGAACAGG
This 253-nucleotide ribosomal RNA is filed under the name uncultured bacterium. Its description in RNAcentral is "partial 16S ribosomal RNA". It matches the Rfam family "Bacterial small subunit ribosomal RNA", at positions 524 to 776 of the family's 1533-position model. The record is from RNAcentral.